This is a long non-coding RNA of Mustela erminea (ermine), 1040 nucleotides long. RefSeq lists it as uncharacterized. The record is from RefSeq and is a predicted model, not a curated record. Lineage: Eukaryota; Metazoa; Chordata; Mammalia; Carnivora; Mustelidae. The transcript has 4 exons.
CAAAUUCUAACCACAGUCAGGACCUGAACAUGAGUAUUGGGAAGUGGAGUCAUUGAAACUGCUUUAGAUCCCAAAUGUUUAUUCUGGAAAGGACAUCCUUCUGCUGAGUUCACCGUCUCUGACAAUGGCAUUUUUGGAGCUCUGUCUGAAGAUAUCUCAAGCUGCAAGGACACUUCUUAUUUCUUGCUGUGUCUGUGUGUUCUUAUUGUAACUUUGAUCAGUGUUCGACCAAAGACAUGGCCAACACAUCCAACAAGGAAGAAGGUGUCCAAAGAGAUGCCCCGUGUGGGACUUUCUGAGGACUGUUGAAGGUGAUACCCUGUUUCUCUCGCCAUGCUAUGAAGAGAGGGCUGACUGAGUUGGUAAACCGUUAAACUGGAGCUAUCAUGUAUCGCCGAGGACACCACCAAAGGAUCGGGGCCUCCAGGGCAGAACGCCAGGAGAGCAUCAGAUCCGAGUUCCAAGAAGGAGUCUGCUCCCAUAAUUACCGACACCUUCAGUGCUGGAGCCUCAGGGAGCCUUCUCCUUGUGAGCAGGAGUAGCAGUGAUCCUCUUCUUGGAGUGCAGUGCUGUGGGGAAGCAUUGGAAACAAGACUGUUGGGAGCCUCGGGAUCGCUUUGGGAAAAGACUCUUUCUGCCAGAGGGUUAAACCUCUCAUGUAAGGGACAUCUGCCAGUAAGAAGGAACUAAGUUCUGCGCAGACAUAAAAAUAAUUGAAACCAGCUACCCCAGGCCAUGCUAAGUGCUUUCCAUGUGUUAGCCCUUGAAUGUUAACAGGAGCCCUAGGAGACAGGACCACCACUGCCCCAUUUCACAUUUGAAGACACUGAGGAAGCGGGACAAAGCAAUUUGCCUGAAGCUGCCCACAAUUUAGGGGAAACCCAGGAUUCCAAUUACAGUUCAGACUCUACAAUACACCAGUGGGCUCAGAAUGGUUUUUAUAUUUUAAAUGGUUGACAAAAAUUAAGAGAGGAUGAUUUCAUGGCACAUGAGAAUUAUAUGAAAUUUGAUUUUUGGUAUUCACAAAUACAGCUUUAUCA